UGGGGAAUAUUGCACAAUGGGCGCAAGCCUGAUGCAGCCAUGCCGCGUGUAUGAAGAAGGCCUUCGGGUUGUAAAGUACUUUCAGCGGGGAGGAAGGGAGUAAAGUUAAUACCUUUGCUCAUUGACGUUACCCGCAGAAGAAGCACCGGCUAACUCCGUGCCAGCAGCCGCGGUAAUACGGAGGGUGCAAGCGUUAAUCGGAAUUACUGGGCGUAAAGCGCACGCAGGCGGUUUGUUAAGUCAGAUGUGAAAUCCCCGGGCUCAACCUGGGAACUGCAUCUGAUACUGGCAAGCUGGAGUGUCGUAGAGGGGGGUAGAAUUCCAGGUGUAGCGGUGAAAUGCGUAGAGAUCUGGAGGAAUACCGGUGGCGAAGGCGGCCCCCUGGACGAAGACUGACGCUCAGGUGCGAAAGCGUGGGGAGCAAACAGG
RNAcentral lists this ribosomal RNA (429 nucleotides) under Chloroflexota bacterium. RNAcentral describes it as "Chloroflexi bacterium partial 16S ribosomal RNA". It matches the Rfam family "Bacterial small subunit ribosomal RNA", at positions 355 to 776 of the family's 1533-position model. The record is from RNAcentral. Lineage: Bacteria; Bacillati; Chloroflexota.